UGAGGAAUAUUGGGCAAUGGAGGGAACUCUGACCCAGCCAUGCCGCGUGAGUGAAGAAGGUUUUCGGAUUGUAAAGCUCUUUCGGACGGGAAGAUAAUGACGGUACCGUCUAAAGAAGCACCGGCUAACUUCGUGCCAGCAGCCGCGGUAAUACGAAGGGUGCAAGCGUUGUUCGGAAUUACUGGGCGUAAAGGGUGUGUAGGCGGCCAUUCAAGAUAGCGGUGAAAUCCCGGAGCUCAACUUCGGAAUUGCCAUUAUAACUGAGUGGCUAGAGUGACAGAGAGGAUAUUGGAAUACCCAGUGUAGAGGUGAAAUUCGUAGAUAUUGGGUAGAACACCGGAGGCGAAGGCGAGUAUCUGGCUGUAAACUGACGCUGAGGCACGAAAGCAUGGGGAUCAAACAGGAUUAGAUACCCUGGUAGU
Molecule: ribosomal RNA, 422 nt
Filed under: uncultured Kiloniella sp.
Lineage: Bacteria; Pseudomonadati; Pseudomonadota; Alphaproteobacteria; Rhodospirillales; Kiloniellaceae
Description: bacterial SSU rRNA
Rfam family: Bacterial small subunit ribosomal RNA
Source: RNAcentral